CCUUUCCUGUUAAGUGGGCACACUGCUACCUCCUUCACAGGGCUGCUGAGAAGAAAGGAGACAGGCGCAUCCGCACACAGAAAGCACUCAGUAAAUGCUGUUUCCCCCCUUCCCCCUAUACAAAGAGACUGAAAGCAACCGCGGCUGCCCGGAGGUCCGAACUGGAGGGUGGCCGCAGCCGUGACUUCCUUGGGAACCGCGCUGCCUCGACUCGGCUACCUCUCUGCGAAGCACUCGCUAAGCCGGGCAGCCCCGGGGUCGCUUAGCGGCCCAGGAGGCGCCAGCGAUCCUGUUCCCCUGCAGAGCUAUGGGGACCGGAAGGCGAAACAGAGCUGUCGACGCGGGAGCAUACGCUGCCCACCAGUGGAGCGCAGGUCAUCAAAGCCGAAUCCGAAUUUGAAUUCUGUGCGGCUGAUUGCAGAGCUGUCUUGAGGCCCUGAGGACUGGGAUCUGCGACCCCCAGUGGACAAAAGUCGACUCUACCCCAGAGGCUAAUUUUCUCAAGGCAGGCACCUGUUGAGAGGCUGCAAGUAAAAUACAGGGGAACGCUAGUUUCCGAGCUCAUGUAAGAAUCUGAGAAAUAACGGGGGUAAACUUUGACAAAGGGGUGUGUGAUUGAGACCUGAGGUCAUGAGAUUAAUGGGUUCUUAUUACCUCUUGCGGGGGGAGGUAGUAAAGGGGAGGGGCAGGUGGCCUGUGGCGUCCUGAAGAUUUUUCAUGCAUUCUUUUUCCGAGAACUAAACAUUGUCAACUCUAAUAUAUCUAUAGCGCAACUUGCUUCAAGGACAGUAAUAAUUUUCAUUUAAUAAUUUUCCAUUUAAUCCCUUUACUACAUGGUCAUUUCUGUCUCUUAUAUUCCUAGGUUUCCCUUUAUAAGGAUUAGUCAGAUCAACAUUAUAUCUCUAACAAUGUUCCUUAGCUUUUUCACUCUCAUUAUACCUAGAGAAUUUAAUGGAAUAAACCAGAUUUUAUAUAUAUAUAUAUAUAUAUAUAUAUAUAUAUAUAUAAAUGUGUGUGUGUGUGCGUGUGUGUGUGUAUAAAAUUACUCAACAUUCAAGUAGUCUUGAAAAAAGAUGGGUAGGAGUCACCUUCUUUCCCUUCAUCAGUUACCAGUGUUCUCUUAACAUAAUGGAAGAGGCAGGAGGUAUUCCCACCUACAACUCAGGAUUCCUAUGUCCUAUGGGUUCAGUUGUGUCCCCCCCCCCAAAAAAAAACACCAAAUACAUCUAUUGGACUCCUGGAGGAAUGAAAGAAAAAAUCCCUGAAGCUG
Molecule: long non-coding RNA, 1270 nt
Filed under: Homo sapiens (human)
Lineage: Eukaryota; Metazoa; Chordata; Mammalia; Primates; Hominidae
Description: HSALNT0285064
Source: RNAcentral